ACACUGCUAAAUUAGAGGAAACUUAAAAGACGUUCUGAUUACUUUGAGGUAAUGUUAUAGGAUCAGAGCAUCUAUUUGUUCUCCAACACCACAAAUCUUUAAUUACAACGACAGACGCGUCUCUCAACGGAUAAAAGGAUCUAAAGGCAGAAGGAGAAUCUGAGUGGAUAUUCCCAGGUAAAAUCCACCACUACGCCCUUCUCUCCUAUCACAGUGCAUGUCACCUGGAGAUUCUUUCCCACUACUAUAGUGUCAGAGGAGGCCUGGAUUGCAGGAGAUGGUGGAGCGGCUGGAUCUGCCAGGGAACUAGGAAACUAGGAAAUACGCACAGUUGACAUAGAUGAGCAUGUAUUUGGUUGAGCUCUGCCGAAGGUUCCCCAGGCUUGCCACACAAUACAGAGAUCCAGCAUGAUACUGCUUCGGUCUGUGGAUGGUG
This is a long non-coding RNA of Labeo rohita (rohu), 436 nucleotides long. RefSeq lists it as uncharacterized. The transcript has 3 exons. The record is from RefSeq and is a predicted model, not a curated record. Lineage: Eukaryota; Metazoa; Chordata; Actinopteri; Cypriniformes; Cyprinidae.